UGGUAAAUAUCUAGUGCAAGUC
RNAcentral lists this microRNA (22 nucleotides) under Schmidtea mediterranea. Its description in RNAcentral is "sme-miR-92-5p". Its record names the gene sme-miR-92-5p. The record is from miRBase by way of RNAcentral. Lineage: Eukaryota; Metazoa; Platyhelminthes; Tricladida; Dugesiidae.